GCAGACACAUUCCAGCCAAUCAGCAGCAGACCCUCCCUCCCAGACCCUCCCACCUCCUGGACAGCAUCCAUUUUACAUUCAUUGUGAAGCUGCAUUCUUAGUGAGCUGUCCAGGAGGUGGGAGGGUCUGGGAGGGAGGGUCUGCUGCUGAUUGGCUGGAGUGUGUCUG
Pelobates cultripes (western spadefoot toad) is the source of this 168-nucleotide non-coding RNA. The record is from the annotation of a GenBank genome assembly. NCBI's taxonomy places the organism in Eukaryota, Metazoa, Chordata, Amphibia, Anura, Pelobatidae.